GUGCCAGCCGCCGCGGUACUACCGGCAGCCCGAGUGAUGGCUGAUCUUAUUGGGCCUAAAGCGUCCGUAGCUGGCCGCGCAAGUCCGUCGGGAAAUCCAUCAGCCCAACUGAUGGGCGUCCGGCGGAAACUGCAUAGCUUGGGACCGGAAGGCUCGAAGGGUACGUUCGGGGUAGGAGUGAAAUCCCAUAAUCCCGCACGGACCACCGAUGGCGAAAGCACUUCGAGAAAACGGAUCCGACAGUGAGGGACGAAAGCCAGGGUCUCCAACCGGAUUAGAUACCCCAGUAGUCC
Molecule: ribosomal RNA, 293 nt
Filed under: uncultured bacterium
Lineage: Bacteria
Description: partial 16S ribosomal RNA
Rfam family: Archaeal small subunit ribosomal RNA
Source: RNAcentral